RNAcentral lists this ribosomal RNA (406 nucleotides) under uncultured bacterium. RNAcentral's name for it is "partial 16S ribosomal RNA". It matches the Rfam family "Bacterial small subunit ribosomal RNA", at positions 30 to 526 of the family's 1533-position model. The record is from RNAcentral.
AUUGAACGCUGGCGGCAGGCCUAACACAUGCAAGUCGAGCGAGCGGCGGACGGGUGAGUAAUGUCUGGGAAACUGCCUGAUGGAGGGGGAUAACUCCUGGAACCGGUAGCUAAUACCGCAUACCCUCAGUUGUUCCCCUAUGGGAUUAGCUUGUAGGUGGGGUAACGGCUCACCUAGGCGACGAUCCCUAGCUGGUCUGAGAGGAUGACCAGCAACACUGGAACUGAGACACGGUCCAGACUCCUACGGGAGGCAGCAGUGGGGAAUAGUGCACAAUGGGGGCAAGCCUGAUGCAGCCAGGCCGCGUGUGGGAAGAAGGCCUUCGGGUUGUAAAGCACUUUCAGCGGGGAGGCGUUACCCGAAGAAGAAGCACCGGCUAACUCCGUGCCAGCAGCCGCGGUAAGUC